AUUGAACGCUGGCGGCAGGCUUAACACAUGCAAGUCGAGCGGGGGAAGGUAGCUUGCUACCGGACCUAGCGGCGGACGGGUGAGUAAUGCUUAGGAAUCUGCCUAUUAGUGGGGGACAACAUCUCGAAAGGGAUGCUAAUACCGCAUACGUCCUACGGGAGAAAGCAGGGGAUCUUCGGACCUUGCGCUAAUAGAUGAGCCUAAGUCGGAGUAGCUAGUUGGUGGGGUAAAGGCCUACCAAGGCGACGAUCUGUAGAGGGUCUGAGAGGAUGAUCCGCCACACUGGGACUGAGACACGGCCCAGACUCCUACGGGAGGCAGCAGUGGGGAAUAUUGGACAAUGGGGGGAACCCUGAUCCAGCCAUGCCGCGUGUGUGAAGAAGGCCUUAUGGUUGUAAAGCACUUUAAGCGAGGAGGAGGCUACUUUAGUUAAUACCUAGAGAUAGUGGACGUUACUCGCAGAAUAAGCACCGGCUAACUCUGUGCCAGCAGCCGCGGUAA
Molecule: ribosomal RNA, 501 nt
Filed under: uncultured bacterium
Lineage: Bacteria
Description: partial 16S ribosomal RNA
Rfam family: Bacterial small subunit ribosomal RNA
Source: RNAcentral